Long non-coding RNA from Pseudophryne corroboree (corroboree frog), 474 nucleotides. RefSeq lists it as uncharacterized. Lineage: Eukaryota; Metazoa; Chordata; Amphibia; Anura; Myobatrachidae. The transcript has 3 exons. The record is from RefSeq and is a predicted model, not a curated record.
CUCAGCUCCUCCUCUUCCUGUUAUCAGCCGGCACAGCUGUUAUCAGCCGGCACAGCAGCAGCACUAACAUUGGUGCAAGCCGAUCCGCCCACCACCUGAUUCCUGUCUGAGGAGGUAGCUCAGCCGGCAAUCCCAUGACACGCAGCAGCGUUGUGGUGAGCCGCAAGCGGCGGGUCGCCAUGACAACAGGUGACGCGAUCACCGGAAGUGACGCGAUCACCGGAAGUGACCCGCCGGCUUCAGUUCCGGAAGCAGGAUCGCGUGGAGGGGACGCGGUGGCAAGCACCCUGGUGGGUAUUUAAGUGGACUUUCCUCAAGGACAGUCAGCGUGUCUCAUUUCUACCUUUGACCCAGCCUAACAUAGAUUGUACUUUUUAAUUUAUUCUUCAAGUUCCACACUGAGGUCAAGUUUAGGAAGUGUUUAUUAAAUGUAAAUGAUUUCUAUGCAUAUUCUUUGCUUAAAAUACCAUAAGC